This 76-nucleotide transfer RNA is filed under the name Candidatus Berkelbacteria bacterium. RNAcentral describes it as "tRNA-Arg". It matches the Rfam family "tRNA". Rfam says of the family: Transfer RNA (tRNA) molecules are approximately 80 nucleotides in length. Their secondary structure includes four short double-helical elements and three loops (D, anti-codon, and T loops). Further hydrogen bonds mediate the characteristic L-shaped molecular structure. tRNAs have two regions of fundamental functional importance: the anti-codon, which is responsible for specific mRNA codon recognition, and the 3' end, to which the tRNAs corresponding amino acid is attached (by aminoacyl-tRNA synthetases). tRNAs cope with the degeneracy of the genetic code in two manners: having more than one tRNA (with a specific anti-codon) for a particular amino acid; and 'wobble' base-pairing, i.e. permitting non-standard base-pairing at the 3rd anti-codon position. The record is from RNAcentral. Lineage: Bacteria; Candidatus Berkelbacteria.
GCCCUCGUAGUUCAGCGGAUAGAACGUCGGCUUCCGGAGCCGAAGGUCAGGGGUUCAAAUCCUCUCGAGGGCGCCA